CCUACGGGAGGCAGCAGUGAGGAAUAUUGGUCAAUGGACGAGAGUCUGAACCAGCCAAGUAGCGUGAAGGAUGACUGCCCUAUGGGUUGUAAACUUCUUUUAUAUGGGAAUAAAAUGUUCCACGUGUGGGAUUUUGUAUGUACCAUAUGAAUAAGGAUCGGCUAACUCCGUGCCAGCAGCCGCGGUAAUACGGAGGAUCCGAGCGUUAUCCGGAUUUAUUGGGUUUAAAGGGAGCGUAGGGGGAUUGUUAAGUCAGUUGUGAAAGUUUGCGGCUCAACCGUAAAAUUGCAGUUGAAACUGGCAGUCUUGAGUACAGUAGAGGUGGGCGGAAUUCGUGGUGUAGCGGUGAAAUGCUUAGAUAUCACGAAGAACUCCGAUUGCGAAGGCAGUUCACUGGACUGCAACUGACACUGAGGCUCGAAAGUGUGGGUAUCAAACAGGAGUAGAUACCCCUGUAGUC
Molecule: ribosomal RNA, 460 nt
Filed under: uncultured bacterium
Lineage: Bacteria
Description: partial 16S ribosomal RNA
Rfam family: Bacterial small subunit ribosomal RNA
Source: RNAcentral